AGAGUUUGAUCAUGGCUCAGGAUGAACGCUAGCGGCAGGCUUAACACAUGCAAGUCGAGGGGCAGCACAUGAGUAGCAAUACGAUGGUGGCGACCGGCGCACGGGUGAGUAACGCGUAUGCAACCUGCCCAUAACUGGGGGAUAACCCGGAGAAAUCCGGACUAAUACCGCAUAAGACCACGAGGCGACAUCGCCCUGUGGUAAAAACUUCGGUGGUUAUGGAUGGGCAUGCGUGUCAUUAGCUAGUUGGUGAGGUAACGGCUCACCAAGGCGACGAUGACUAGGGGGUCUGAGAGGAUGGUCCCCCACACUGGAACUGAGACACGGUCCAGACUCCUACGGGAGGCAGCAGUGAGGAAUAUUGGUCAAUGGGCGGAAGCCUGAACCAGCCAUGCCGCGUGAAGGAUGACGGCCUUAUGGGUUGUAAACUUCUUUUGUGGUAGAACAAUAAGGGGCACGAGUGCUCCGAUGAGAGUAUAUCACGAAUAAGCAACGGCUAACUCCGUGCCAGCAGCCGCGGUAAUACGGAGGUUGCGAGCGUUAUCCGGAUUUAUUGGGUUUAAAGGGUGCGUAGGCGGUUUGAUAAGUCAGUGGUGAAAGUUUGCAGCUUAACUGUAAAAUUGCCAUUGAUACUGUCAGACUUGAGUACAGAUGAGGUAGGCGGAAUGUGUGGUGUAGCGGUGAAAUGCUUAGAUAUCACACAGAACACCGAUUGCGAAGGCAGCUUACUAAACUGACACUGACGCUGAGGCACGAAAGUGUGGGGAUCAAACAGGAUUAGAUACCCUGGUAGUCCACACUGUAAACGAUGAUUACUGGAUGUU
RNAcentral lists this ribosomal RNA (824 nucleotides) under uncultured bacterium. Its description in RNAcentral is "bacterial SSU rRNA". It matches the Rfam family "Bacterial small subunit ribosomal RNA", at positions 8 to 824 of the family's 1533-position model. The record is from RNAcentral.